This 492-nucleotide ribosomal RNA is filed under the name Triticum aestivum (bread wheat). Its description in RNAcentral is "partial small subunit ribosomal RNA". Lineage: Eukaryota; Viridiplantae; Streptophyta; Magnoliopsida; Poales; Poaceae. The record is from RNAcentral.
AUGCAGCAGUGGCUCGUGCUGUGCCUGCGCGACCUCGGGUGCGAGUGGGCCGCCGCGUCGCGGGCCUACGCGCCGGUCGCCGCCUUGGCCGUGCGCCCGUCCGCGGAGGAGGAGGAGGAGGGGGAUUCCGUUCGCCGGCAAGGCUUCUUCAGUGGACUGCGUCUUGAAGACGUUGAUCCACAGGAAGAAAGCCAACAGGAUGCCUUGCAAAUCGAUUUCGAACAGGAAAUUGGAGCACCACGAGCAAGCAGGCAGAGGAGCAGAUUUACAGAGGGGUGCUUCUUCUCACUGGCAGCAGCACGAGCAGGGGAGCUACGGGCGGAGGAGCAACAACUUGCACAGGAGCAGGCCCGCUGGGAGCUUGAGGACGAGCUUGAGGUCGAGGCCCGCCGGGAGCUCCAGCUCCAGCCGCUCGAGACGCAGGCGCGCGCAGGUCCUGGGCGGCGGGAAGGGAUAGCGGCGGCGCAGGCCCUAGGCGGCGGGAGGGCAUAG